GUGGGGAAUCUUAGACAAUGGGGGAAACCCUCAUCUAGCCAUGCCGCGUGAUCGAUGAAGGCCUUAGGGUUGUAAAGAUCUUUCGCUGGGGAAGAUAAUGACUGUACCCAGUAAAGAAGCCCCGGCUAACUCCGUGCCAGCAGCCGCGGUAAUACGGAGGGGGCUAGCGUUAUUCGGAAUUACUGGGCGUAAAGCGCACGUAGGCGGACUGGAAAGUUGGGGGUGAAAUCCCGGGGCUCAACCUCGGAACUGGCUUCAAAACUCCCAGUCUUGAGUUCGAGAGAGGUGAGUGGAAUUCCGAGUGUAGAGGUGAAAUUCGUAGAUAUUCGGAGGAACACCAGUGGCGAAGGCGGCUCACUGGCUCGAUACUGACGCUGAGGUGCGAAAGCGUGGGGAGCAAACAGGAUUAGAUACCCGAGUAGUCC
Molecule: ribosomal RNA, 425 nt
Filed under: uncultured bacterium
Lineage: Bacteria
Description: partial 16S ribosomal RNA
Rfam family: Bacterial small subunit ribosomal RNA
Source: RNAcentral